This is a non-coding RNA of Vulcanisaeta sp. JCHS_4, 74 nucleotides long. NCBI's taxonomy places the organism in Archaea, Thermoproteati, Thermoproteota, Thermoprotei, Thermoproteales, Thermoproteaceae. The record is from Rfam.
GCCGCCGUAGCUCAGCCAGGUAGAGCGUCGCCUUGGUAAGGCGAAAGUCCCGGGUUCAAAUCCCGGCGGCGGCU